AUUGAACGCUGGCGGCAUGCCUUACACAUGCAAGUCGAACGGUAACAGGUUAAGCUGACGAGUGGCGAACGGGUGAGUAAUGUAUCGGAACGUGCCCAGUCGUGGGGGAUAACUGCUCGAAAGAGCAGCUAAUACCGCAUACGACCUGAGGGUGAAAGCGGGGGAUCGCAAGACCUCGCGCGAUUGGAGCGGCCGAUAUCAGAUUAGGUAGUUGGUGAGGUAAAGGCUCACCAAGCCGACGAUCUGUAGCUGGUCUGAGAGAACGACCAGCCACACUGGGACUGAGACACGGCCCAGACUCCUACGGGAGGCAGCAGUGGGGAAUUUUGGACAAUGGGCGCAAGCCUGAUCCAGCCAUGCCGCGUGCGGGAAGAAGGCCUUCGGGUUGUAAACCGCUUUUGUCAGGGAAGAAAAGGUUCUGGCUAAUACCUGGGACUCAUGACGGUACCUGAAGAAUAAGCACCGGCUAACUACGUG
Molecule: ribosomal RNA, 477 nt
Filed under: uncultured bacterium
Lineage: Bacteria
Description: partial 16S ribosomal RNA
Rfam family: Bacterial small subunit ribosomal RNA
Source: RNAcentral